GUCAACCUGCCCUCAGGACGGGAAUAACCCCGGGAAACUGGGACUAAUUCCCAAUAGGAGAGAGGUACUGGAAUGUUCUCUUUCUGAAAUGUUCCGACGCCUGAGGAUGGGACUGCGGUGGAUUAGGUCGUUGGGGGUGUAACGGACCUCCAAGCCGAUAAUCCAUACGGGCGUUGAGAGACGGAGCCCGGAGAUGAACUCUGAGACACGAGAUCAGGCCCUACGGGGCGCAGCAGGCGCGAAACUUUUACAAUGCGUGAAAGCGCGAUAAAGGAAUCCCGAGUGCUCUGGCAUAGCCAGAGCUUUUCUGAAGUGUAAAGAGCUUCAGGAACAAGGGGUGGGAAAAACGGGUGCCAGCCGCCGCGGUAAUACCCGUGCCCCAAGUGGUGACCACGAUUAUUGGGCCUAAAGCGUCCGUAGCCGGUCGGAUGGGUCCUCAGUGAAAUCUUACGCUAAAACGUAAGGCUUGCUGGGGAAACUAUCUGACUUGGGACCGGGAGAGGCCGGGGCUACUCCUGGGGUAGUGGUAAAAUACUGUAAUCCCAGGAGGAGCGCCUGUGGCGAAAGCGCCCGGCUGGAACGGCUCCGACGGUGAGGGACGAAAGCCUGGGGAGCGAAGCGGAUUAGAUACCCGCGUAGUCCAGCCGUUAACGAUGCCCGUUUUGGUGUAGCAUCUCCUACGUGGAGGUGCUGUGCCGUAGCGUAGUGUUAAGCGGGCCGCCUGGGGAGUACGUCCGCAAGGAUGAAACUUAAGGAAUUGGCGGGGA
RNAcentral lists this ribosomal RNA (767 nucleotides) under uncultured euryarchaeote. Its description in RNAcentral is "bacterial SSU rRNA". It matches the Rfam family "Archaeal small subunit ribosomal RNA", at positions 103 to 874 of the family's 1478-position model. The record is from RNAcentral. Lineage: Archaea; Methanobacteriati; Methanobacteriota.